RNAcentral lists this ribosomal RNA (492 nucleotides) under uncultured bacterium. RNAcentral's name for it is "partial 16S ribosomal RNA". It matches the Rfam family "Bacterial small subunit ribosomal RNA", at positions 29 to 507 of the family's 1533-position model. The record is from RNAcentral.
AGUGAACGCUGGCGGUAGGCCUAACACAUGCAAGUCGAACGGCAGCACAGUAAGAGCUUGCUCUUACGGGUGGCGAGUGGCGGACGGGUGAGGAAUACAUCGGAAUCUACUUUUUCGUGGGGGAUAACGUAGGGAAACUUACGCUAAUACCGCAUACGACCUACGGGUGAAAGCAGGGGAUCUUCGGACCUUGCGCGAUUGAAUGAGCCGAUGUCGGAUUAGCUGGUUGGCGGGGUAAAGGCCCACCAAGGCGACGAUCCGUAGCUGGUCUGAGAGGAUGAUCAGCCACACUGGAACUGAGACACGGUCCAGACUCCUACGGGAGGCAGCAGUGGGGAAUAUUGGACAAUGGGCGGAAGCCUGAUCCAGCCAUACCGCGUGGGUGAAGAAGGCCUUCGGGUUGUAAAGCCCUUUUGUUGGGAAAGAAAAGCAGCAGGUUAAUACCCCGCUGUUCUGACGGUACCCAAAGAAUAAGCACCGGCUAACUUCGUG